GAUGAACGCUGGCGGCGUGCUUAACACAUGCAAGUCGAACGGAAAGGCCCAAGCUUGCUUGGGUACUCGAGUGGCGAACGGGUGAGUAACACGUGGGUGAUCUGCCCUGCACUUCGGGAUAAGCCUGGGAAACUGGGUCUAAUACAGGAUAGGACCAAUUCUAGGAUGUUGUGGUGGAAAGUUUUUUCGGUGUGGGAUGAGCUCGCGGCCUAUCCGCUUGUUGGUGGGGUAAUGGUCUACCAAGGCGUCGACGGGUAGCCGGCCUGUGGGAGUGUACGGCGACAUUGGGACUGAGAGACGGCCCAGACUCCGACGGGAGGCAGCAGUGGGGAAGAUUGCACAAUGGGCGCAGGCCUGAUGCAGCGACGCCGCGUGUGGGAUGACGGCCUUCGUGUUGUAGACUCCUUGCGCUAGGGACGAAGCGUUUUGUGACGGUACCUGGAGAAGAAGCACCGGCUAACUACGUG
This 467-nucleotide ribosomal RNA is filed under the name uncultured bacterium. Its description in RNAcentral is "partial 16S ribosomal RNA". It matches the Rfam family "Bacterial small subunit ribosomal RNA", at positions 28 to 507 of the family's 1533-position model. The record is from RNAcentral.